RNAcentral lists this unclassified non-coding RNA (303 nucleotides) under root metagenome. RNAcentral describes it as "partial contains small subunit ribosomal RNA, internal transcribed spacer 1, and 5.8S ribosomal RNA". The record is from RNAcentral.
UUUCCGUAGGUGAACCUUCGGAAGGAUCAUUGUAGAGUUCCUUUUCAAACGGAUGUGAAGUUGUACCAAUACCUAUCGAGAACUAAGCAUUUUUGCUGUCAGCACUUGCGUUGUUUAGAUGGGUUCCCUUUGUUGCCUUCAUCUUGCUUCAUUUGAAGUGAGAAGUAGAGUAGAAAUAAAAGACCGGCACGGUUUGUGCCAAAGAUAGUCGUUGUUGGAGUACAUUGCCAUCUUUUUGAUGUCUUUGUUACUCUACAAGCAAAUACGUCUGAAUGACUCCUAGCAAUGGAUAUCUUGGCUCUC